RNAcentral lists this ribosomal RNA (497 nucleotides) under uncultured bacterium. RNAcentral describes it as "partial 16S ribosomal RNA". It matches the Rfam family "Bacterial small subunit ribosomal RNA", at positions 28 to 507 of the family's 1533-position model. The record is from RNAcentral.
GAUGAACGCUGGCGGCGUGCCUAAUACAUGCAAGUCGAGCGAACGGACGAGAAGCUUGCUUCUCUGAUGUUAGCGGCGGACGGGUGAGUAACACGUGGAUAACCUACCUAUAAGACUGGGAUAACUUCGGGAAACCGGAGCUAAUACCGGAUAAUAUUUUGAACCGCAUGGUUCAAAAGUGAAAGACGGUCUUGCUGCCUCUUAUAGAUGGAUCCGCGCUGCAUUAGCUAGUUGGUAAGGUAACGGCUUACCAAGGCAACGAUGCAUAGCCGACCUGAGAGCGUGAUCGGCCACACUGGAACUGAGACACGGUCCAGACACCUACGGGAGGCAGCAGUAGGGAAUAUUCCGCAAUGGGCGAAAGCCUGACGGAGCAACGCCGCGUGAGUGAUGAAGGUCUUCGGAUCGUAAAACUCUGUUAUUAGGGAAGAACAUAUGUGUAAGUAACUGUGCACAUCUUGACGGUACCUAAUCAGAAAGCCACGGCUAACUACGUG